AUAUACACUAUAUUAUGUAUAAAUAUGUACACACUUCCUCCAUAGACCCACAUAUAGAGUGUGUAUAUGUUGCACAUACAUACGUGUUUAU
This 91-nucleotide microRNA precursor is filed under the name Notamacropus eugenii (tammar wallaby). RNAcentral describes it as "miRNA (ENSMEUG00000016812.1)". Lineage: Eukaryota; Metazoa; Chordata; Mammalia; Diprotodontia; Macropodidae. The record is from RNAcentral.